UGCAAGUCGAGCGGUAACGGGUCCAGCUUGCUGGAUGCCGACGAGCGGCGGACGGGUGAGUAAUGCAUAGGAAUCUGCCCGAUAGUGGGGGAUAACCUGGGGAAACCCAGGCUAAUACCGCAUACGUCCUACGGGAGAAAGCGGGGGCUCUUCGGACCUCGCGCUAUCGGAUGAGCCUAUGUCGGAUUAGCUAGUUGGUGAGGUAACGGCUCACCAAGGCGACGAUCCGUAGCUGGUCUGAGAGGAUGAUCAGCCACACCGGGACUGAGACACGGCCCGGACUCCUACGGGAGGCAGCAGUGGGGAAUAUUGGACAAUGGGCGCAAGCCUGAUCCAGCCAUGCCGCGUGUGUGAAGAAGGCUUUCGGGUUGUAAAGCACUUUCAGUGGGGAAGAAGGCCUGGCGGCCAAUACCCGCCAGGGACGACAUCACCCACAGAAGAAGCACCGGCUAACUCCGUGCCAGCAGCCGCGGUAAUACGGAGGGUGCGAGCGUUAAUCGGAAUUACUGGGCGUAAAGCGCGCGUAGGCGGCUAAGUAAGCCGGUUGUGAAAGCCCCGGGCUCAACCUGGGAAUGGCAUCCGGAACUGUUUAGCUAGAGUGCAGGAGAGGAAGGUAGAAUUCCCGGUGUAGCGGUGAAAUGCGUAGAGAUCGGGAGGAAUACCAGUGGCGAAGGCGGCCUUCUGGACUGACACUGACGCUGAGGUGCGAAAGCAUGGGUAGCAAACAGGAUUAGAUACCCUGGUAGUCCAUGCCGUAACGAUGUCGACUAGCCGUUGGGUCCCUUGAGGACUUAGUGGCGCAGUUAACGCGAUAAGUCGACCGCCUGGGGAGUACGGCCGCAAGGUUAAAACUCAAAUGAAUUGACGGGGGCCCGCACAAGCGGUGGAGCAUGUGGUUUAAUUCGAUGCAACGCGAAGAACCUUACCUACCCUUGACAUCCUGCGAACCCUCCGGAGACGGAGGGGUGCCUUCGGGAGCGCAGAGACAGGUGCUGCAUGGCUGUCGUCAGCUCGUGUUGUGAAAUGUUGGGUUAAGUCCCGUAACGAGCGCAACCCUUGUCCCUAUUUGCCAGCGAUUCGGUCGGGAACUCUAGGGAGACUGCCGGUGACAAACCGGAGGAAGGUGGGGACGACGUCAAGUCAUCAUGGCCCUUACGGGUAGGGCUACACACGUGCUACAAUGGCCGGUACAAAGGGUUGCAAUCCCGCGAGGGGGCGCCAAUCUCAUAAAGCCGGUCUCAGUCCGGAUCGGAGUCUGCAACUCGACUCCGUGAAGUCGGAAUCGCUAGUAAUCGUGCAUCAGAAUGGCACGGUGAAUACGUUCCCGGGCCUUGUACACACCGCCCGUCACACCAUGGGAGUGGACUGCACCAGAAGUGGUUAGCUUAACCCUCGGGGAGCGAUC
This 1405-nucleotide ribosomal RNA is filed under the name Chromohalobacter sp. Sa11-2I. RNAcentral describes it as "bacterial SSU rRNA". It matches the Rfam family "Bacterial small subunit ribosomal RNA". The record is from RNAcentral. Lineage: Bacteria; Pseudomonadati; Pseudomonadota; Gammaproteobacteria; Oceanospirillales; Halomonadaceae.